CCUACGGGAGGCAGCAGUGAGGAAUAUUGGUCAAUGGACGAGAGUCUGAACCAGCCACGUAGCGUGAAGGAUGACUGCCCUCUGGGUUGUAAACUUCUUUUAUAUGGGAAUAAAAUGUUCCACGUUUGGGAUUUUGUAUGUCCCAUAUUAAUAAGGAUCGGCUAACUCCGUGCCAGCAGCCGCGGUACUACGGGGGAUCCGAGCGUUAUCCGGUUUUAUUGGGUUUAAGGGAGCGUAGGUGGUUUGUUAAGUCAGUUGGGAAAGUUUGUGGCUCAACCGUAAAAUUGCAGUUGAAACUGGCAGUCUUGAGUACAGUAGAGGUGGGCGGAAUUCGUGGUGUAGCGGUGAAAUGCUUAGAUAUCACGAAGAACUCCGAUUGCGAAGGCAGCUCACUGGACUGCAACUGACACUGAGGCACGAAAGUGUGGGGAUCAAACAGGAUUAGAUACCCGAGUAGUC
This 459-nucleotide ribosomal RNA is filed under the name uncultured bacterium. Its description in RNAcentral is "partial 16S ribosomal RNA". It matches the Rfam family "Bacterial small subunit ribosomal RNA", at positions 338 to 795 of the family's 1533-position model. The record is from RNAcentral.